Long non-coding RNA from Rosa chinensis, 980 nucleotides. RefSeq lists it as uncharacterized. Lineage: Eukaryota; Viridiplantae; Streptophyta; Magnoliopsida; Rosales; Rosaceae. The transcript has 4 exons. The record is from RefSeq and is a predicted model, not a curated record.
GCUGAUUUUGGGGGAAGUGAAUUCUCCGAAAAGCUAGUUUCUGAGAAGCAGCAAUUUGCUGCUUUGCAAAAUUGCUUCUGCGGAACCUCUCCCAAAAAACACGGAGGGUUUAAUGAAACUUAUUGAACUGUCUAUUUUGUCAUUGUUUUUUUCCUAAAAAUCACACUGAACCCAGCAGCCUUAUCUCUUCCCUUCAUUACAGAUGGUUUCCUCUCUAUCAUUCUCCUCUCCUGCUCCUUUCUUUGCUGUCAAAUCCUUAACCCUAAUCCUCAUCGGCACAAAUUGGGAGAGAAGCUCUCUACUUCUCCUCCCUUCGUCUCUAAGAAGCAUCAUCAGAAAUACGAGAGGAGCUAUUUCUGAUUGUCUUCCCAUCACGGUCAUCUAUUCAAGCAUUCUUCUGGUCUUCUUCAAAAACUUGGUAGUGCAGCAUUGUUCUCCAAUUCUAAAGUGCUGUACUCGGGUGUUGUUGCUGGAGCUAGGGAGGCAUUAAUAAGUGGAGUGCCCUCUUUAUCUAUUUUUCUGAAGUGAAUAUACUCCAGGAAACCCCAAAAUAAUGACAAAAUGUUCUCAUCAUUAUCAUCUUGGUUGUAUAUAUGAGUGGAUAUGGAGAGAAGUGAAAGUUGUCCUGUUUGUAGCAAGGUCAUGGCAUUUGAUGAAACGACUUAAUCUUGAUUGAUGAAUCCAGCAACAUCAGGAAGAUAGAAUACUAAAGAAAGUGAUACCAAUGUGAAUACCGCAUGUUAAAAAAAUAGUGUCAUCGAUAGUACAUAUAAACUUAAUUUCUGAUAACCGAUGUUGUAAGUACAGUUUAUCCAAAUAUUUUUCUCCUUUGGAAAUUUUUCUUUGGAAGAAAAAAUGUGAUAGUUCUUGCAAUUUUACUUGCAUUUGGCAAAAGUCAUUUAAGUAUAGCAUUGCACCAGUAGAGAGAAAACUUUCUGUACAACUUAUUUAUGUUACCAGUGUUCUUUCUCUGGGUGUUA